Molecule: ribosomal RNA, 162 nt
Filed under: uncultured bacterium
Lineage: Bacteria
Description: partial 16S ribosomal RNA
Rfam family: Bacterial small subunit ribosomal RNA
Source: RNAcentral
UGGGGAAUAUUGCGCAAUGGGCGAAAGCCUGACGCAGCGACGCCGCGUGAGGGAUGAAGGUUUUCGGAUCGUAAACCUCUGUCGGAAGGGAAGAAAGCGUACCGUGCCAAUCAGCGGUGCGUUGACGGUACCUUCAAAGGAAGCGCCGGCUAACUCCGUGCC